GGAAGGUGCAAGCGUUAAUCGGAAUCACUGGGGCGUAAAGCGCGCGUAGGCGGUUAGAUAAGUUGGGUGUGAAAGCCCCGGGGGCUCAACCUGGGGAACUGCAUUCGAUACUGUCUGACUAGAGUGUGAUAGAGGGAGGCGGAAUUCCGCAUGUAGCGGUGAAAUGCGUAGAGAUGCGGAGGAACACCAAUGGCGAAGGCAGCCUCCUGGAUUAACACUGACGCUGAGGCGCGAAAGCGUGGGGAGCAAACAGGAUUAGAUACCCUGGUAGUCCACGCCGUAAACGAUGUCAACUAGCCGUUGGGAGCACUUUGGCUCUUGGUGGCGCAGCUAACGCGAUAAGUUGACCGCCUGGGGAGUACGGUCGCAAGAUUA
This 375-nucleotide ribosomal RNA is filed under the name uncultured organism. Its description in RNAcentral is "partial 16S ribosomal RNA". It matches the Rfam family "Bacterial small subunit ribosomal RNA", at positions 527 to 896 of the family's 1533-position model. The record is from RNAcentral.